RNAcentral lists this ribosomal RNA (427 nucleotides) under Flavobacteriaceae bacterium JJ-1. RNAcentral's name for it is "bacterial SSU rRNA". It matches the Rfam family "Bacterial small subunit ribosomal RNA", at positions 23 to 452 of the family's 1533-position model. The record is from RNAcentral. Lineage: Bacteria; Pseudomonadati; Bacteroidota; Flavobacteriia; Flavobacteriales; Flavobacteriaceae.
CUCAGGAUGAACGCUAGCGGCAGGCUUAACACAUGCAAGUCGAGGGGUAUAAGUCUUCGGAUUUAGAGACCGGCGCACGGGUGCGUAACGCGUAUGCAAUCUACCUUUUACAGAGGGAUAGCCCAGAGAAAUUUGGAUUAAUACCUCAUAGCAUAGCAGCUUCGCAUGAAGCCACUAUUAAAGUCACAACGGUAAAAGAUGAGCAUGCGUCCCAUUAGCUAGUUGGUAAGGUAACGGCUUACCAAGGCUACGAUGGGUAGGGGUCCUGAGAGGGAGAUCCCCCACACUGGUACUGAGACACGGACCAGACUCCUACGGGAGGCAGCAGUGAGGAAUAUUGGACAAUGGGCGCAAGCCUGAUCCAGCCAUGCCGCGUGCAGGAUGACGGUCCUAUGGAUUGUAAACUGCUUUUAUACGAGAAGAAACA